GGAGGUGCUUCCGGCCUGGUGGUCGGCACGGUCUUCAAAACCGCUGCGUCGGGUUUCUGCCCGAUGGAUGUGUUCGAUUCGCAUGCACCUCCGCCA
This 96-nucleotide transfer RNA is filed under the name Actinomycetes bacterium. RNAcentral describes it as "Actinobacteria bacterium tRNA-Sec". It matches the Rfam family "Selenocysteine transfer RNA". The record is from RNAcentral. Lineage: Bacteria; Bacillati; Actinomycetota; Actinomycetes.